UGCUCUGCCUUAUGCUUCAUUCCUUUACUCUUCCUCUGUGUCUCUGCUUCCUUCCCUUGCGUCCUCAAUCAUCGCCAGCGUGAGCCUUUGCUGUCAAUCUGUCCAUAGAUAGCCGGAAGUGAGCUUGUUUUCUUGUUGCUGAACGCUAGCGAAAAUCUUUUUUUUCUUCUUCCUCCCUGUUCAAGCUUACAGCAUAUCGUUGGGUGAGUGUUUUGUCUUCCUCUUUUCCUUGCUCAGCUGUAGCUCCCUGUUCGGUUGGCAAUCUUUUGAUCUCUCCCUCUUUCACUGUUAUUGGUGAUUAAGGGUGUGUGGAAGAACAAGACCCUGACAAGACUUAAAACAAGAAUAGUUUUGGGAAUUUAGAACUUCAACAGAUUGGUUAGAUGACGCCAAUUCCACCAAUGACCUCUAAAAGGGCAACUAGCUAUAGUGGGUGGACAUUUUGAUUGGUAUUGUUGCUUUAAUGUAAAUAUAUAAUUUGUAUAUCUUUUUGAUUUGAAAGAAAGAGUAAAUGCUCCACAUAAGUUGUUGAUAAACCUUAUUUUUUAUCUGUAUAUUGGUUGCUGGCUGGAAGGAGCUACGCUCCUGAUUUAUAUUGUUAUCUAUAAAAAAGAAAUUUUUGUUGUAGAA
This is a long non-coding RNA of Prosopis cineraria, 630 nucleotides long. RefSeq lists it as uncharacterized. The transcript has 4 exons. NCBI's taxonomy places the organism in Eukaryota, Viridiplantae, Streptophyta, Magnoliopsida, Fabales, Fabaceae. The record is from RefSeq and is a predicted model, not a curated record.